GGAUUACCCGCUGAGUUUAAGCAUAUCAA
Molecule: ribosomal RNA, 29 nt
Filed under: Pistacia vera
Lineage: Eukaryota; Viridiplantae; Streptophyta; Magnoliopsida; Sapindales; Anacardiaceae
Description: partial 26S ribosomal RNA
Source: RNAcentral